UACAGAGGGUGCGAGCGUUAAUCGGAAUUACUGGGCGUAAAGCGUGCGUAGACGGUUAUGUAAGUCGGAUGUGAAAGCCCCGGGCUCAACCUGGGAAUUGCAUUCGAGACUGCAUGGCUAGGAUGCGGAAGAGGGAAGCGGAAUUUCCGGUGUAGCGGUGAAAUGCGUAGAUAUCGGAAGGAACACCAGUGGCGAAAGCGGCUUCCUGGUCCAGCAUCGACGUUCAGGCACGAAAGCGUGGGGAGCAAACAGG
This 253-nucleotide ribosomal RNA is filed under the name uncultured bacterium. Its description in RNAcentral is "partial 16S ribosomal RNA". It matches the Rfam family "Bacterial small subunit ribosomal RNA", at positions 524 to 776 of the family's 1533-position model. The record is from RNAcentral.